Salvia splendens (bonfire salvia) is the source of this 128-nucleotide long non-coding RNA. RefSeq lists it as uncharacterized. The transcript has 3 exons. Lineage: Eukaryota; Viridiplantae; Streptophyta; Magnoliopsida; Lamiales; Lamiaceae. The record is from RefSeq and is a predicted model, not a curated record.
GUGAAGGACGCCUAUUACGUUCUGGCCGUACGUCUGGUUCAGAUUUCAAAGCACAAUACUUUAGCCGCCGAUUUUAAUGGUUGACACAAGAAAAUCGUCGAUGGAAGCAAAGCGGAGGAAGGUCAACG